Molecule: ribosomal RNA, 250 nt
Filed under: uncultured bacterium
Lineage: Bacteria
Description: partial 16S ribosomal RNA
Rfam family: Bacterial small subunit ribosomal RNA
Source: RNAcentral
ACGUAGGAGGCGAGCGUUGUCCGGGUUUACUGGGCGUAAAGCGCGUGUAGGCGGGAAGGCAAGUCUUCUGUGAAAUCUCCCGGCUCAACUGGGAGGGUGCAGGGGAUACUACCUUUCUUGAGGGCAGCAGAGGGAAGUGGAAUUCCCGGUGGAGCGGUGAAAUGCGUAGAUAUCGGGAGGAACACCAGUGGCGAAGGCGGCCACCUGGACGGCUACUGACGCUGAGGCGCGAAAGCGUGGGGAGCGAACG